UGUUAAGAGACAGCAGCCGCCGCGGUAACACGAAGGGUGCAAGCGUUAAUCGGAAUUACUGGGCAUAAAGCGCACGCAGGCGGUUUGUUAAGUCAGAUGUGAAAUCCCUGAGCUUAACUUGGGAACUGCAUUUGAAACUGGCAAGCUAGAGUCUUGUAGAGGGGGGUAGAAUUCCAGGUGUAGCGGUGAAAUGCGUAGAGAUCUGGAGGAAUACCGGUGGCGAAGGCGGCCCCCUGGACAAAGACUGACGCUCAGGUGCGAAAGCGUGGGGAGCAAACGGGAUUAGAUACCCCUGUAGUCCCUGUCUCUUAUAC
This 314-nucleotide ribosomal RNA is filed under the name uncultured bacterium. RNAcentral describes it as "partial 16S ribosomal RNA". It matches the Rfam family "Bacterial small subunit ribosomal RNA", at positions 499 to 807 of the family's 1533-position model. The record is from RNAcentral.